CAAGCCCAUACAAGACUGGAUGCUUGAGACUCAAAGAUGAUUCCAAGCAGGCCAGCAUGGACGUUACUGCAUUUACUUCCUAAUGGCAUCCAAAUCUUUUCCUGUAUAAUUGCAAGGAGGUCUCCAAAUACAAAGGAACCCUACAAGACCAAACAAACGUAUAUUACUACUAUACUAUUGCACAGGUGCCGACUCCUCCUUUAUACAGUGGAUGUUUUCUGUGUGGCUCCUUGCAAGCCCCUUGGGGCGGUCCCUUUUUCCCUUCAGUGGUGCUUCGGGGGGAUGUGGGUGGCAAUCCAGCCCCCUGGAUUCAUCAACAGUAUUAUUUCUGGUCACAUGAAUAGUUAUUUCACCGCUGAGUGAGCCAAUUGUCCCCCUGAGGAGACCGAACAGAGGUCGAAACGCGUCGGGGCUCGCACACCCCAUAGCCUAUAAUAUGUAACGAUGUGCACAAUUUUGUUCUUUUAUUGCAUUAAAUUGUAUUUGUACUGUACAUAUACUGUAUCAUUGGAUCAGAUUAAU
Molecule: long non-coding RNA, 522 nt
Organism: Rana temporaria (common frog)
Lineage: Eukaryota; Metazoa; Chordata; Amphibia; Anura; Ranidae
Exons: 3
Source: RefSeq, a predicted model, not a curated record